This 530-nucleotide ribosomal RNA is filed under the name Penicillium chrysogenum. Its description in RNAcentral is "eukaryotic LSU rRNA". The stretch from base 154 to 306 matches the Rfam family "5.8S ribosomal RNA". Lineage: Eukaryota; Fungi; Ascomycota; Eurotiomycetes; Eurotiales; Aspergillaceae. The record is from RNAcentral.
CACCUCCCACCCGUGUUUAUUUUACCUUGUUGCUUCGGCGGGCCCGCCUUAACUGGCCGCCGGGGGGCUUACGCCCCCGGGCCCGCGCCCGCCGAAGACACCCUCGAACUCUGUCUGAAGAUUGUAGUCUGAGUGAAAAUAUAAAUUAUUUAAAACUUUCAACAACGGAUCUCUUGGUUCCGGCAUCGAUGAAGAACGCAGCGAAAUGCGAUACGUAAUGUGAAUUGCAAAUUCAGUGAAUCAUCGAGUCUUUGAACGCACAUUGCGCCCCCUGGUAUUCCGGGGGGCAUGCCUGUCCGAGCGUCAUUGCUGCCCUCAAGCACGGCUUGUGUGUUGGGCCCCGUCCUCCGAUCCCGGGGGACGGGCCCGAAAGGCAGCGGCGGCACCGCGUCCGGUCCUCGAGCGUAUGGGGCUUUGUCACCCGCUCUGUAGGCCCGGCCGGCGCUUGCCGAUCAACCCAAAUUUUUAUCCAGGUUGACCUCGGAUCAGGUAGGGAUACCCGCUGAACUUAAGCAUAUCAAUAAGCGGAG